UUACUGGGCGUAAAGCGAGCGUAGGUGGCUUGAUAAGUCAGAUGUGAAAUCCCCGGGCUUAACCUGGGAACUGCAUCUGAUACUGUUAAGCUAGAGUAGGUGAGAGGGAAGUAGAAUUCCAGGUGUAGCGGUGAAAUGCGUAGAGAUCUGGAGGAAUACCGAUGGCGAAGGCAGCUUCCUGGCAUCAUACUGACACUGAGGCUCGAAAGCGUGGGUAGCAAACAGGAUUAGAUACCCUGGUAGUCCACGCCGUAAACGAUGUCUACUAGUCGUUGGGUCCCUUGAGGACUUAGUGACGCAGCUAACGCAAUAAGUAGACCGCCUGGGGAGUACGGCCGCAAGGUUAAAACUCAAAUGAAUUGACGGGGGCCCGCACAAGCGGUGGAGCAUGUGGUUUAAUUCGAUGCAACGCGAAGAACCUUACCUGGUCUUGACAUACACAGAAUCCUGUAGAGAUACGGGAGUGCCUUCGGGAAUUGUGAUACAGGUGCUGCAUGGCUGUCGUCAGCUCGUGUCGUGAGAUGUUGGGUUAAGUCCCGCAACGAGCGCAACCCUUGUCCUUAGUUACCAGCGGUUUGGCCGGGAACUCUAAGGAUACUGCCAGUGACAAACUGGAGGAAGGCGGGGACGACGUCAAGUCAUCAUGGCCCUUACGACCAGGGCUACACACGUGCUACAAUGGUAGGUACAGAGGGCAGCUACACAGCGAUGUGAUGCGAAUCUCAAAAAGCCUAUCGUAGUCCGGAUUGGAGUCUGCAACUCGACUCCAUGAGGUAGGAAUCGCUAGUAAUCGCGGAUCAGAAUGCCGCGGUGAAUACGUUCCCGGGCCUUGUACACACCGCCCGUCACACCAUGGGAGUUGAUUGCACCAGAAGUGGGUAGCCUAACUUUUAGAGGGCGCUCACCACGGUGUGGUUGAUGACUGGGGUGAAGUCGUA
This 938-nucleotide ribosomal RNA is filed under the name uncultured bacterium. RNAcentral describes it as "bacterial SSU rRNA". It matches the Rfam family "Bacterial small subunit ribosomal RNA", at positions 551 to 1490 of the family's 1533-position model. The record is from RNAcentral.